Molecule: ribosomal RNA, 494 nt
Filed under: uncultured Solitalea sp.
Lineage: Bacteria; Pseudomonadati; Bacteroidota; Sphingobacteriia; Sphingobacteriales; Sphingobacteriaceae
Description: bacterial SSU rRNA
Rfam family: Bacterial small subunit ribosomal RNA
Source: RNAcentral
AGCCUGAACCAGCCAUGCCGCGUGCAGGAAGACGGCCCUAUGGGUUGUAAACUGCUUUUNUCGGGGAAUAAACCUCAUUACGUGUAAUGAGUUGAAGGUACCCGAAGAAUAAGGAUCGGCUAACUCCGUGCCAGCAGCCGCGGUAAUACGGAGGAUCCAAGCGUUAUCCGGAUUUAUUGGGUUUAAAGGGUGCGUAGGCGGUUUAUUAAGUCAGUGGUGAAAGCCCGGAGCUCAACUUCGGAACUGCCAUUGAUACUGAUAGACUUGAGUACAGAUGAAGUGGGCGGAAUGUGACAAGUAGCGGUGAAAUGCUUAGAUAUGUCACAGAACACCGAUUGCGAAGGCAGCUCCACUAAAGUGUAACUGACGCUGAGGCACGAAAGCGUGGGUAGCAAACAGGAUUAGAUACCCUGGUAGUCCACGCCCUAAACGAUGAUUACUCGCUGUUAGCGAUAUACAGUUAGCGGCUAAGCGAAAGCGUUAAGUAAUCCACC